CGCGGUAAUUCCAGCUCCAAUAGCGUAUACUAAAGUGUUGCAGUUAAAAAGCUCGUAGUUGGAUUUCUGGCGGGGACGGCUGGUCGGUCUCGAAAGGGGCUGUACUGUUGUUGGUUCCCGUCAUCCUUGGGGAGAGCGGCUCUUACAUUAAGUUGUCGGCGUCGGGAUCCCUAUCUUUUACUGUGAAAAAAUUAGAGUGUUCAAAGCAGGCUUAGGCCCUGAAUACAUUAGCAUGGAAUAAUAAGAUACGACCUUGGUGGUCUAUUUUGUUGGUUUGCACGCCAAGGUAAUGAUUAAUAGGGAUAGUUGGGGGUAUUCGUAUUCAAUUGUCAGAGGUGAAAUUCUUGGAUUUAUGGAAGACGAACUACUGCGAAAGCAUUUACCAAGGAUGUUUUCAUUAAUCAAGAACGAAAGUUAGGGGAUCGAAGAUGAUUAGAUACCAUCGUAGUCUUAACCAUAAACUAUGCCGACUAGGGAUCGGUGGGUGCAUUUUUAAGCCUCAUCGGCACCUUAUGAGAAAUCAAAGUCUUUGGGUUCCGGGGGGAGUAUGGUCGCAAGGCUGAAACUUAAAGAAAUUGACGG
Molecule: ribosomal RNA, 582 nt
Filed under: uncultured Eustigmatophyceae
Lineage: Eukaryota; Eustigmatophyceae
Description: SSU rRNA
Rfam family: Eukaryotic small subunit ribosomal RNA
Source: RNAcentral